AUUGAACGCUGGCGGAAUGCUUUACACAUGCAAGUCGAACGGUAGAGGGGGCAACCCCUUGAGAGUGGCGAACGGGUGAGUAAUAUAUCGGAACGUGCCCAGUCGUGGGGAUAACGUAGCGAAAGUUACGCUAAUACCGCAUACGAUCUAAGGAUGAAAGCGGGGGAUCGCAAGACCUCGCGCGAUUGGAGCGGCCGAUAUCAGAUUAGGUAGUUGGUGAGGUAAAGGCUCACCAAGCCAACGAUCUGUAGCUGGUCUGAGAGGACGACCAGCCACACUGGAACUGAGACACGGUCCAGACUCCUACGGGAGGCAGCAGUGGGGAAUUUUGGACAAUGGACGCAAGUCUGAUCCAGCCAUUCCGCGUGUGUGAAGAAGGUCUUCGGAUUGUAAAGCACUUUAAGUUGGGAGGAAGGGUAGUAACCUAAUACGUUGCUACUUUGACGUUACCGACAGAAUAAGCACCGGCUAACUUCGUGCCAGCAG
RNAcentral lists this ribosomal RNA (486 nucleotides) under uncultured bacterium. RNAcentral describes it as "bacterial SSU rRNA". It matches the Rfam family "Bacterial small subunit ribosomal RNA", at positions 30 to 514 of the family's 1533-position model. The record is from RNAcentral.